CUUAGUAAACAAUAGGUUAUGGCACAUGAAAAAGGGAAAAAAAAAGUGAGACUUUUACACAUGGUGGUUGAGACAUAGUUAACCUUAGAAAGGUGGAUGUCAUGCUUAUAAACUUAUAAUCCUUCAACCACCAAAAAGCUACAUUUUUUUAUUUUUCCCCCCUAUAAAUAAGAGCUUCACUUGAAUACAUUUUCCCAUAAAAAUCUAACAGUCUCAUCUUAUACACUUCUAAAAAAAUAAUAAAAUUAGCGAUAGCUAAACAACAAAAUCUGUUACUAAUCCUAUUUAGUGACGGAUUAGCAACAAUUUUCAAUAUUUUUAUUUAGUUACCAGCAAUUCAACGACGAAGUUCGUACUAUAUAUAUAUAUACCAUUAUGUCUCUUCUCAAUAAUAAUAUCGUGUCUCUUUUCUUGAGUACCAAUAAAUCAGAUGGAGUAAGAAGAAAAAGAAGGAAAAAACCCUAUCGAAGUUUGCUGGUACUUUUUCUAACUAUACAAAACUUUAGAUUCAUGUUGAUAGUUAAAAUCACACUAGCUACGAUUUUUAAAAAAAAUAGUUUUGUGACUUUACUAUUAUUAUUAUGACUAAAAUUUAUCUAGUUUGAAGCCAAAAAAAAGUUUUAUUGUGAUUUUAGUGUUAUGAUGAGUAAAAGUUUAGUGACUAUAUGUGAAAUUUACCCUCGUAUUGCCUUUGGUUGUAGUAGAGGCGGAUCCACUAUUUUAGUUAUGAAUUUAGUAGAAUCAAUAUAUUAUGAUAAAAUUUUCAUCUACUAUGUCUAUAUAGAAAAAUUAUUAUCGCCAAAAAUUGACAAAUUAAAUAUUUUUAAUCCGCCUCUAGGUUCUAAACUUCUUCUUAUAGUGUUAUUGUUAUUUCUUUUCAUCUUCUUAUUUUAAUUUCUAGCUUGUUAGUUAGGGCUAAUGACAUCUAGACAAAUCUUCUAAACUAUUAUGCUAUAUACUUAUAAUUGCAAGUAUUGAAAUUAAUUCAUGCAAACAUAAUGAAAAUAUUACACACAACAAAAAGUAAUAUAUAUACCUAGGUGAUAUUGGGAAUAUAUUUUCAUCAUGUUAGUACGUUUAUUUGGUUUAGAAAAUAUAGAAUUUAAAUCUAUCCUCCUUUUUUUUUUCUUUUUCAGGAUACAAUUAGAUAAAUCAUCUGGAACAUUCAUUUGAGCAAGAAAGUCAGAGUUAGUAAGACGAUGAAGGUACGAGGAUGAUGUUGUUUUAACCAACCUCAACCUCGGACCUUCAUCUAUAACGUCAAUCAUUACGCACGACGAAGCGUUCAUCACCUCUAUUUCACAUAAUAUUUCACUCAAAGAAAAUUUUGUGCAUGGCCCAAAGACAACAUGAAGUUUGUUAAUUAGUUGAGGCCUAUAUACAUAACACACAACAAAAAAUGCCUUUAGUGGCAUUAGAUUCAAGAUUUAUAAUUUUGUUGAUUCAAUAUUAAAGAUUAUCAACAUUAUUUUCAUUAUAUUAUUAUAGUUAUGAACUCGUAUAUGUUAUUUAUUGUAAUAACAAAGACCUUAUGACACUCAUAUUCAGAUUAAUUUAGGUUAUGGGUGUAAAUAAUAUAUGAGACAAAAUCCUCUUAAACUUUAUAUUGUAAUUGACAUUUUCUCAUCAAUAAUUCUUAUUUUGUCUUAAUUUGAGUUUCUGGAACAGCAAUUAUUGUUUUCUGGUUCAAUGCACACAUAUAAUCUUUUCAAUGAAUAAUUAAAGUGCUUUUUCGUGUUUGUCUUCUUAUCAAUGUCAUUUUCCCACUUGUUUAGAUCUAGGGAAUCAAACAACAAUGCCAUAUCCAGUUGUAAAACAUACAAAUUACAAAUAGGAUAUGAAAAUAGUAACGUUUACUCAAUUUAUUUUUUUUAUAACGGUAGAAAAAGGUUUAGCUAAAUCAUAAAUUCUAUCAAAUAUUAUGUAUCGAAAGGAAAUACAGUGAUGAAGAAAUGAUGUUAAAACUUCAACUAAUCAUAGUAUUUCAUUGUUAUGACUGUCCUCAUUUAUGUAUUCUUUUUUCUAAACUUUUCGGAAAUGUUUAAUUUUGAGCCAAGAGGGUAUAUCGUAUACAACCUCUAAGGUUUGCCAAC
Molecule: long non-coding RNA, 2093 nt
Filed under: Solanum lycopersicum (tomato)
Lineage: Eukaryota; Viridiplantae; Streptophyta; Magnoliopsida; Solanales; Solanaceae
Description: long non-coding RNA (SLYC_LNC000135)
Source: RNAcentral